GACGAACGCUGGCGGCGUGCUUAACACAUGCAAGUCGAACGGAAAGGCCCUGCUUUUGUGGGGUGCUCGAGUGGCGACCGGGUGAGUAACACGUGAGUAACCUGCCCCUGACUUUGGGAUAACUUCAUGCAACUGGGGCUAAUACCGGAUAGGAGCUCCUGCUGCAUGGUGGGGGUUGGUAAGUUUAGGUGGUUGGGGAUGGAAUCGCGGCUUAUCAGCUUGUUGGUGGGGUAGUGGCUUACCAAGGCUUUGACGGGUAGCAGGCCUGGGCGGGUAACCGGCCACAUUAGACCGGGAAUGCGACCCAGACCCGAACGGGAGGCAACGGUGGAGAGUAGAGUACAAUGGGCUGAGGGCUAAUGCGGCAAAGCCGCGUGCGGGAAGACGGCAUGCGGGUUGGAUAGCGCUGUCGCCUUUGACGAGGCGUGAGUGACGGUAAUGGGUGAAGAAGCACCGGCUAACUACGUG
This 468-nucleotide ribosomal RNA is filed under the name uncultured bacterium. RNAcentral describes it as "partial 16S ribosomal RNA". It matches the Rfam family "Bacterial small subunit ribosomal RNA", at positions 28 to 507 of the family's 1533-position model. The record is from RNAcentral.